RNAcentral lists this ribosomal RNA (491 nucleotides) under Aplastodiscus arildae (Teresopolis treefrog). RNAcentral's name for it is "partial small subunit ribosomal RNA". It matches the Rfam family "Bacterial small subunit ribosomal RNA", at positions 794 to 1522 of the family's 1533-position model. Lineage: Eukaryota; Metazoa; Chordata; Amphibia; Anura; Hylidae. The record is from RNAcentral.
GCUUAGCCUUAAGCCUUCAAUUACACCCCAAACGCCAGGGAACUACGAGCAAAGCUUAAAACCCAAGGGACUUGACGGUACCCCACAUCCCCCUAGAGGAGCCUGUCCUAUAAUCGAUAACCCCCGUUCAACCUCACCAUCUUUAGCCUAUCAGUCUGUAUACCUCCGUCGUCAGUUUACCGCAUGAGUGCCCUAAAGUAAACCAAAUGUCCUCACCCGUCAACACGUCAGGUCAAGGUGCAGCUAACAAGAUGGGAAGAGAUGGGCUACACUCUCUAAUAUAGAGCACACAGAGAAUUUAUAUGAAACCCAGUUCAAAGGUGGAUUUAGCAGUAACAGGGGUAAUAGCACCCCUUUUAAGCAGGCCCUGGGGUGUGUACACACCGCCCGUCACCCUCCUCGCAGCUCUCGCAAAAGUAUUUUACAAAUCCCAGCAUCGUAGAGGAGGUAAGUCGUAACAUGGUAAGUGCACCGGAAGGUGCGCUUGGAAA